AGUGCUGCAUUAAACUUUGCAGCUGAAGACAUAGAAACUUUGAGAUUAAUCUGGUGCAGAAACACUGUGAAUUGAUCCUUACCCGAUAACAUUUCUGCUUUUAACAGACUCCUUAAUGAAAAUUCAUAAGAACCUCUUCAGAUAAAUAAGGAUACAUUCUGAUCUUUAUUGUACUGGUAUGAAUUUGGAGCAACUUCAAUGAAACUAGUGGAAUUGCUCUGGAUUUACUAAUAGCGUAAAUGAAACCAAAAUGAAAACCAGAGACUUUAGAAAGACUUAAGCCACCAAUUCAGCUUUCUGAAUUGGAAGCUCGCUUAUAAAGUUUAUAGUACAAAACUUCUCUCUUCCUCCCUCUUUACAAUAACAUCUUUCUUAACAGUUCUUACUAAAUCUGCAUGAAAUAAGCUGCAUGAAAUAAAUGGUCAGGAUGUUUAAAUUUCCACCCUGUACCACCUGCAAAUUACAGGCCAGAUCCAUUUGCUUGAUUGAGGCAAGUAAGAAUCAUUACCACAUUGGUCAGCUGAUUUUUCCCUUCUUAAACACCUGCAAAUGCAAGUCACCUGGGACUUUGAACCUAUUAAGGUUCUUAUAAUUGAGACAAGGGUAAAAUAGUUAGUAAAAUGGUACAUGAACAGAAAGAUGAGAGGGGGAGAGAGAAAGACACUCUGGUUGGAUGACAAGAAAUCAUAUAACCAUAUUUGCAACUGAGCUUUGGGAGCAUGGUCUUUAUAAUGGGGUUAGCUAAUCUAGAUAAUAAUAAGGAUAGGAAAGUCAGCAAUCAUAAUCAUAUUUAAUGGAUUCCAGAUGGAGAAGUAUAAUUGUUCUCAUUAUCAUUGUGAAAACUCCAAGGAAAUACAAUCCCAAGAUACUUUACCUUGACAAGCAACCAGGAACAAUAUCAACAUCAAGUCAUGGGAUUUGGAGAAAGAGCUGUGUUGCUGUUUAUGAAUCACUGUUGGAUGAGACUCUAAGAACUGAAGAGGAGUAAUCAGUAAUAAACCUCAAACCUUUGGAGGCUAUUGGCUGCCCAUCAGCACUGCAAAUUUUGGGUACUCUACUUUGUGUACCCAAACAGAAAGAUAUUGGGAGUACCUCUGAGGAUGGGCAUUCCCAUUUACCAUGAGCUACCAUGGGAGCAUUCCCCCACUGAGGUGGGUCUCUAGGCUGGCAUAUGCCUAAAGAAACAAGUCACCAUGAAGCAACACAAGCAGAGGCAAUAUGUGGUUUUUUUACUCUGCAAACAAAAGCAUAC
Long non-coding RNA from Gallus gallus (chicken), 1252 nucleotides. RefSeq lists it as uncharacterized. The transcript has 3 exons. The record is from RefSeq and is a predicted model, not a curated record. NCBI's taxonomy places the organism in Eukaryota, Metazoa, Chordata, Aves, Galliformes, Phasianidae.